GAUGAACGCUAGCGGCAGGCCUAACACAUGCAAGUCGAGGGGCAGCACAUAAAGCGGUUUACUACUUUUGGUGGCGACCGGCGGACGGGUGCGUAACGCGUAUGCAACCUGCCUCCAACAGGGGGAUAACGGAGAGAAAUUUCCACUAAUACCCCAUAAUAUCAGAAUCGGAAUCGGAUUUGGUUGAAAACUCUGGUGGUUGGAGAUGGGCAUGCGUUGUAUUAGAUAGUUGGUGAGGUAACGGCUCACCAAGUCAACGAUACAUAGGGGGACUGAGAGGUUAGCCCCCCACACUGGUACUGAGACACGGACCAGACUCCUACGGGAGGCAGCAGUGAGGAAUAUUGGUCAAUGGGGGCAACCCUGAACCAGCCAUGCCGCGUGCAGGAAGACGGCUCUAUGAGUUGUAAACUGCUUUUACAAGGGGAUAAAUCGGUGUACGUGUACACCGUUGAAGGUACCUUGGGAAUAAGGAUCGGCUAACUCCGUGCCAGCAGCCGCCGUAA
RNAcentral lists this ribosomal RNA (506 nucleotides) under uncultured bacterium. RNAcentral's name for it is "partial 16S ribosomal RNA". It matches the Rfam family "Bacterial small subunit ribosomal RNA", at positions 28 to 523 of the family's 1533-position model. The record is from RNAcentral.